RNAcentral lists this ribosomal RNA (1520 nucleotides) under metagenome. RNAcentral describes it as "bacterial SSU rRNA". It matches the Rfam family "Bacterial small subunit ribosomal RNA". The record is from RNAcentral.
AGAGUUUGAUCCUGGCUCAGAAUGAACGCUGGCGGCGUGCAUAACACAUGCAAGUCGUACGAGAACGCUUCUGCUUGCAGGAGCAAGUAAAGUGGCGAACGGGUGAGUAAUGCGUAGGUAAUCUACCUUUAAAUUGGGGAUAACAUUGCGAAAGCGAUGCUAAUACCGAAUGUGGUUUUAUUUACGGAAGUAGAUAAGACUAAAGUUGGCCUCUAUAAAUAAGCUAAUGUUUAGAGAUGAGCCUGCGUACCAUUAGCUAGUUGGUAGGGUAAGAGCUUACCAAGGCGACGAUGGUUAGCUGGUCUGAGAGGAUGAUCAGCCACACUGGAACUGACACACGGUCCAGACUCCUACGGGAGGCAGCAGUGAGGGAUUUUGCGCAAUGGGGGGAACCCUGACGCAGCAACGCCGCGUGAGUGAAGAAGGCCUUCGGGUCGUAAAGCUCUGUCGAAUAGAAAGAAGGUGCUACAUAAUAAAAUGUGUAGUAUUGACGGUACUAUUAGAGGAAGCACCGGCUAACUCCGUGCCAGCAGCCGCGGUAAUACGGAGGGUGCGAGCGUUAUUCGGAAUUACUGGGCGUAAAGGGCGCGUAGGCGGUUAUUUAAGUCAGAUGUGAAAGCCCUGGGCUUAACCUGGGAACAGCAUUUGAAACUGGGUAGCUUGAGUAUAGGAGAGGGAAGUGGAAUUCCUGGUGUAGAGGUGAAAUUCGUAGAUAUCAGGAGGAACACCGGUGGCGAAGGCGACUUCCUGGCCUAAUACUGACGCUGAGGCGCGAAGGUGUGGGGAGCAAACAGGAUUACAUACCCUGGUAGUCCACACAGUAAACGGUGAUUACUAGGUGUAGUAGGUAUUGAACCCUACUGUGCCGUAGCAAACGCGUUAAGUAAUCCGCCUGGGGAGUACGGCCGCAAGGUUAAAACUCAAAGGAAUUGACGGGGGCCCGCACAAGCGGUGGAGCAUGUGGUUUAAUUCGACGCAACGCGAAGAACCUUACCUGGGCUUGACAUCUCAGGAAUUUUCUUGAAAGAGAAGAGUGCCCUUCGGGGAACCUGAAGACAGGUGCUGCAUGGCUGUCGUCAGCUCGUGUCGUGAGAUGUUGGGUUAAGUCCCGCAACGAGCGCAACCCUUAUCUUUAGUUACCAUCAUUAAGUUGGGGACUCUAGAGAUACUGCUCCGGUUAACGGGGAGGAAGGUGGGGAUGACGUCAAGUCCUCAUGGCCCUUACGUCCAGGGCUACACACGUGCUACAAUGGGUUGUACAAAGGGGAGCAAAUCUGUGAAGGUGAGCGAAUCCCAGAAAGCAGCUCUCAGUUCGGAUUGAAGUCUGCAACUCGACUUCAUGAAGUUGGAAUCGCUAGUAAUCGUGGAUCAGCAUGCCACGGUGAAUACGUUCCCGGGCCUUGUACACACCGCCCGUCACACCAUGAGAGUUGGUUAUACCAGAAGUUGAUAUACUAACCAGUGAUGGAAGUGAGCACCUAAGGUAUGGCUGAUGAUUGGGGUGAAGUCGUAACAAGGUA